UACGUGGGGGGCAAGCGUUGUUCGGAAUUACUGGGCGUAAAGGGCGCGUAGGCGGCACGGCAAGUCAGGAGUGAAAGCCCUGGGCUCAACCCGGGAACUGCUUUUGAAACUGCCGAGCUAGAGUGCGGAAGGGGCAACUGGAAUUCCCAGUGUAGCGGUGAAAUGCGUAGAUAUUGGGAAGAACACCUGAGGCGAAGGCGGGUUGCUGGGCCGACACUGACGCUGAGGCGCGAAAGCCAGGGGAGCGAACGGG
Molecule: ribosomal RNA, 253 nt
Filed under: uncultured bacterium
Lineage: Bacteria
Description: partial 16S ribosomal RNA
Rfam family: Bacterial small subunit ribosomal RNA
Source: RNAcentral